RNAcentral lists this ribosomal RNA (478 nucleotides) under uncultured bacterium. Its description in RNAcentral is "partial 16S ribosomal RNA". It matches the Rfam family "Bacterial small subunit ribosomal RNA", at positions 28 to 507 of the family's 1533-position model. The record is from RNAcentral.
GAUGAACGCUGGCGGCGUGCUUAACACAUGCAAGUCGAACGGGAAACCUUUUAUUGAAGCUUCGGCAGAUUUAGCUGGUUUCUAGUGGCGGACGGGUGAGUAACGCGUGGGUAACCUGCCCUGUACAGGGGGAUAACAACCAGAAAUGGUUGCUAAUACCGCAUAAGCGCACAGGGCCGCAUGGUCCGGUGUGAAAAACUCCGGUGGUAUAGGAUGGACCCGCGUUGGAUUAGCCAGUUGGCAGGGUAACGGCCUACCAAAGCGACGAUCCAUAGCCGGCCUGAGAGGGUGAACGGCCACAUUGGGACUGAGACACGGCCCAGACUCCUACGGGAGGCAGCAGUGGGGAAUAUUGCACAAUGGGGGAAACCCUGAUGCAGCGACGCCGCGUGAAGGAAGAAGUAUCUCGGUAUGUAAACUUCUAUCAGCAGGGAAGAUAGUGACGGUACCUGACUAAGAAGCCCCGGCUAACUACGUG